RNAcentral lists this ribosomal RNA (253 nucleotides) under uncultured bacterium. Its description in RNAcentral is "partial 16S ribosomal RNA". It matches the Rfam family "Bacterial small subunit ribosomal RNA", at positions 524 to 776 of the family's 1533-position model. The record is from RNAcentral.
UACGGGGGGGGCAAGCGUUGUUCGGAAUUACUGGGCGUAAAGGGCGCGUAGGCGGCCUGAUAAGUCGGGGGUGAAAUCCUGUGGCUCAACCACAGGGCUGCCUCCGGGACUGUCGGGCUCGAGCACAGUAGAGGCAGGUGGAAUUCCCGGUGUAGCGGUGGAAUGCGUAGAGAUCGGGAAGAACAUCGGUGGCGAAGGCGGCCUGCUGGGCUGUUGCUGACGCUGAGGCGCGACAGCGUGGGGAGCAAACAGG